Molecule: ribosomal RNA, 378 nt
Filed under: uncultured bacterium
Lineage: Bacteria
Description: partial 16S ribosomal RNA
Rfam family: Bacterial small subunit ribosomal RNA
Source: RNAcentral
CCUACGGGGGGCAGCAGUGGGGAAUAUUGCACAAUGGGGGAAACCCUGAUGCAGCGACGCCGCGUGAGCGAUGAAGUAUUUCGGUAUGUAAAGCUCUAUCAGCAGGGAAGAAAAUGACGGUACCUGACUAAGAAGCCCCGGCUAACUACGUGCCAGCAGCCGCGGUAAUACGGAGGGGGCAAGCGUUAUCCGGAUUUACUGGGUGUAAAGGGAGCGUAGACGGCGAUGCAAGCCAGAUGUGAAAGCCCGGGGCUCAACCCCGGGACUGCAUUGGAAACUGUAUAGCUGGAGUGUCGGAGAGGGGGGCGGAAUUCGUGGUGGAGCGGUGAAAGGCGGAGAUAGGAGGAAGAACAGCGGGGGAGAGGGGAGCUGACGGGA